UGGGGGAUAUUGCACAAUGGGCGAAAGCCUGAUGCAGCGACGCCGCGUGGGGGAUGAAGGCUUUCGGGUUGUAAACCUCUUUCGCUAUCGAACAAGGCCCGCUUAGGGUGGGUUGAGGGUAGGUGGAGAAGAAGCGCCGGCUAACUACGUGCCAGCAGCCGCGGUAAUACGUAGGGCGCGAGCGUUGUCCGGAAUUAUUGGGCGUAAAGGGCUUGUAGGCGGCUUGUUGCGCCUGCUGUGAAAACGCGGGGCUUAACUUCGCGCGUGCAGUGGGUACGGGCAGGCUUGAGAGUGGUAGGUGUGACUGGAAUUCCAGGUGUAGCGGUGGAAUGCGCAGAUAUCUGGAGGGACACCGAUGGAGAAGGCAGGUCACUGGGCCAUUACUGACGCUGAGGAGCGAAAGCAUGGGUAGCGAACAGG
This 420-nucleotide ribosomal RNA is filed under the name bacterium. RNAcentral's name for it is "partial 16S ribosomal RNA". It matches the Rfam family "Bacterial small subunit ribosomal RNA", at positions 355 to 776 of the family's 1533-position model. The record is from RNAcentral.